Molecule: ribosomal RNA, 2478 nt
Filed under: Triticum aestivum (bread wheat)
Lineage: Eukaryota; Viridiplantae; Streptophyta; Magnoliopsida; Poales; Poaceae
Description: partial small subunit ribosomal RNA
Source: RNAcentral
AUGUCGAUGGAGAUCGAGGAGGAGGACUCCGGCGAGACGGCGCCGGAGAUGGAGGCGCCCGGCGUGAGCACGGUGGCCAUCGCGGUGAGCGGGAGCAGGAGCAGCAGGCACGCGCUCAAGUGGGCCCUCGACAAGUUCGUGCCCGGCGGCAGGGUCCUCUUCCGGAUCCUCCAUGUCCGCCCGCCCAUCACCAUGGUGCCCACUCCAAUGGGCAAUUACAUCCCGGUGUCGCAAGUACGCGACGAUGUGGCGUCGGCGUACAGGGAAGAGCUGGAAUGGCAAGCGAGGAACAUGUUGCUCCCUUACAAGAAGAUGUGUGCUCAGACACAGGUGGAAGCUGAAGCUGUUUUACUUGAAUCUGAUGACGUGCCUGCUGCUAUAAGCGAGGAAAUCGACAAAUUCAACAUUGGCAAGCUGGUCUUGGGCUCUUCGUCCAGAAGCAUAUUCCGAAGGAAGCUCAAAGGAAGCAAGACUGCAACCAAAAUCUCUGAAUGCAUUCCAAGCUUCUGUACAGCAUACGUUAUUUCAAAGGGCAAACUGUCAUUCGUGCACUCAGCUACAUCUGAUGCCUGCGAAACACCGAAGACCAUAUCUUCUUCAACUGUUUCUUCUCCUAGCUCCAGAAGCCUUUCCAGUGCACCCUCAGAGUGCGCUGAGAGAAAUGGAGCAGCAGCUGUAUUGUUCCGCCAGUCUUCUCUGUCAUCGCAACGUGAUCACGCACUCGCAAACAUAAACAGGAGAGCUAGCCCUUCAGGCAGUGGAGGCAGCGAGAUCUCUUACCAUGCUGACACAACCCUGAUGACAAAUUCACACUCGAUCGCAUCGGGAGCACAACUCAGUAGCAGCAGCAGCAGUGGGGAUUCAGUUUACAAGAGCUUCCGAAGAGAUAGCUCCCCAGACAUCCCUGACCUGCAGGCAGAAGUUUCAGAAAUUGCAACAAGCCUGAAGCAUUCUCAUGACCAGGAUGACCUGACGCUUCAAAUUGAGAGUAUGAAGGUCAAACUGCAACACCUUCAGAAGCUUCACGAGUGUGCUCAUACUGAACCGGUUGACUCCACUCAGAAAUUACACAACAACUUGGGGAUCCACCGUGUCGAGCACGAAGUCAAACUUCGAGAAAUUGACCUGACAGAAGAAAUAGUGAGGAGAUUGCUAAGGCGAAUGGAGAGAGAAGAAGAGGAGGUGGCCGAAAGAGAAGCUCAACCUAUCCAAAGCUCUUCUGGACAGAAAUCAACAGAGGGCGAUGGUGAUCACCAAAAUGCUGGAGAGAUCAACACAGGACUGAAAAACGCCGGACGAUUUUUAACCGAGUAUAAUAGGUACUCAUGGGAGCAUAUCCAAGCGGCGACUUCAUCGUUUUCAAGUGAUCUUGUGAUUGGUAAGGGGACAUAUGGAACAGUCUACAAGGCUAAGUUUCAGCAUACUGUUGCAGCAGUGAAAGUUCUCAACUCCCUUGAAGGUUUUGGAACUCAGCAGUUACAGCAAGAGCUGGAGGUCCUGGGCAAGAUCCGGCACCCUCACCUGCUGCUGCUGCUGGGCGCGUGCCCGGAGCGCGGCUGCGUGGUGUACGAGUACAUGGAGAACGGCAGCCUGGAUGAUGCUCUCCACCACCGCCGGAACGGCACACGGCCGCUCGCCUGGUACGACCGCGUCCGCGUCGCCUGGGAGGUGGCCACCGCCGUCGCCUUCCUCCACAAUGCCAGACCGGACCCCAUCAUCCACCGUGACCUCAAGCCGGCCAACAUCCUGCUCGACCGGAACCUCUCCAGCAAGGUCGGUGACGUCGGCCUCUCAACGGCGCUGCUCCACCACUCGGGCGCCGGAGGUGGAGCAGGCCAGCAGCAGUCCACGAUGGUGAGGAACACGACGCCCGUGGGCACGUUCUGCUACAUCGACCCGGAGUACCAGCGGACGGGCGCCGUGUCGGCCAAGUCAGACGUGUAUGCGCUCGGCGUGGUAAUGCUGCAGCUGCUCACAGGGCGGACAUCGCCGCUGGGGCUCGCCCACGCCGUGGAGACCGCGCUGGAGGAAGACGGCGGUGACUCCUUCGCGGAGAUGCUGGACGCAACCGCCGGGCAGUGGCCGCCGGAGGAGGCGCGGGAGCUGGCAGCGCUGGCGCUGCAGUGCGCAGAGAUGCGGCGCAGGGACCGGCCAGGGCUGCGCGAGCACAUCCUCCCAGUGCUGGAGAGGAUUAAGGACGUUGCAGCCAGAGCCGCCAGGGAGACAAAGGCCCUUCUCCUCCGGACAGCAUCAUCGUCAGCGGCGCCGGGCCACUUCCUCUGCCCCAUUCUUCAGGAAAUCAUGGAGGACCCAUGCGUCGCCGCCGACGGUUACACCUACGACCGGAAGGCGAUCGAGACAUGGGUGAGCAUGAAGGACAAGUCGCCGAUGACCAACCUCCGGCUGCCAAGCAAGAGCCUCAUCCCCAACCACUCGCUCCGGUCGGCCAUCAUAGACUGGAGCUCCAAGAACAGAUGA